AUUCGAUUUGCCAAUGCAGAAAAUGCCAAAAAGUGGUACACCACGUUUGAAGAAGCAAAGCAAAUAGUUGCCACUCAAUGCGACCUCUAUAACAAAUCACUGGAAGAACUGAUCAAUCAAGACGAGGAGAAAACCAACAGCGGAGACAGCAGUGAUGACACAAGCGACUCGCUGAGCGAUGAUGAUGGGAGCGAUGAGAAAACCAAACCAGCAGAAGAAUCUAAAGAAACCGACGACAAGUGUGAUCCAGACCUCAAUCAAGCAGUAGAAAACCUUCGAAUAGACUCCAAGACUGAUAAAGCUGAAGAUUCUAAAGUGUCUGAUUCCCAAGUUUCAGAACCUAAAGCGGAGGUCUAAUCUUCCUACUUUUGCUUUCUCCGUGAUCCCACUUUGUUUAAGUUAAGAGGCUAGUGAUGUUUGCAUUUUUACUCAAUCUUCUUAAUUUCAAGCAAAGCUUCUCUUUUUAUAAUAAGUUUUUGUUUAGAAUCUUUUAGAAUUUUUCUAGAGUUUCCAGUGUUUUCUUUUUUCUCAGAUUUCUUCUUAAUAUCAUUGAGAAAACUCUGAAUUAUUUACCUCCCAUCCACAGGCCAUUUGAACAGCUUCAAAUCAAAGCAAUAAUUUUUUUCCAGCCCAGAGUUGAUAAUAAAGAAAAUUCACAUCAACAACAGUAAGUUUAGGAUUUCUUUCCUUUUUUAAGAAAUCAAUAUCCGUAUGGUCCAAAUUGGCCA
This 728-nucleotide long non-coding RNA is filed under the name Bemisia tabaci. Its description in RNAcentral is "lncRNA ENSSSA3NGG009220". The record is from RNAcentral. Lineage: Eukaryota; Metazoa; Arthropoda; Insecta; Hemiptera; Aleyrodidae.